Molecule: long non-coding RNA, 1463 nt
Organism: Gallus gallus (chicken)
Lineage: Eukaryota; Metazoa; Chordata; Aves; Galliformes; Phasianidae
Source: Ensembl
AAAAGUCUCAUCUGCACAUAGUCUGUUUGCAUGUUUUUGAUUUUUUUUUUCUUUUAUUAGCUUAUUUCCAUGUGGUUUCUUAAGGUAAUUCUCGAUCUUGCCUCAGAAAAAUCAUAAGGCUGCCAUAUGGGUGCAUAAUCAGGCCAAAGAAAAUAAGAAAAUGUGAGGCUCACAGACCUCUAAUAUUAUCAAGAACAUCACUCUGCAUGUGGAAGCUUUGGUACAUUUCAAUCAGUUUGGAAGGUCAGCCAGAAAAAUGGAGAAGACAAAUUGUUUACAUUUACCCCUAAAACAAAUGCAUAUACCUAGAUUAAACUAAUUUCACUUACUGCUUUAUUAUUGCAAUAUGAGCUGCACAUCUAAAAACCAUCUGCAUGCAGAAAAAUAGGGCAUUGCUAGAUACCAGAUUAAGAAUAAAAAAGUGAAGAAGGAUAAGAAUGUAUGCUGGGCUCUUCAAGGAAGAAGGCAUGGGAAAAAGAGUGUUCAUUUGGGAAAAGCUCAGCUUGCUCUAUUGCAAUGACCUUCACUCAUGCUCUGCAUCUGCAAACUCAGUGACAACAUCUUUGCUUUUUUUAUAUUCAUACUACUUGUGUACACUGCCCAAAUUAAUCAUAGUAUACAAUAUCUUACAGCAGUCUGAAAAAGCUCACUAGUUCAAAAGUCACAGAUUGAUAGAAGCGCUGAGAAAUAAUAAAGCUCAACACGCUUGUUGCAGUAGACAGUGAUGUGAUCAUUGUAGCUCUGAUUCAUGCAUUACAUCUUCUGUUUUUCAUUCCAUAUGUUGCUGCCGAAUGUCCAGCCCAAGGAAGCUAUGUGUCGGGACAUAUUUCAUUGUGCUUUUCUAUUGAUUGUAUGGAAUGCAAGCAGAAUUCCUGCAAGAUAGCAAACUACUUCAGAAAAAUCAUGAGCAAAGGCAGAUGAGCCUACGUCUCCUCCCAAGCCUCCUGCUGCCAACAGAUUCUACAGUGGAUCAGUGGGAAUGAAUACACAAAUGAUGAUGCUUUUCUAUGGAAACAGUGAAUUUCAACCACAGAAAAGAAUAUAGAAGUAAGAACACAGGAACUGAAAGCUUUCUAGUCCUACUCUACAAUUUUCUCAUUUGCUCUUUAUCUGAGUUACUAACACAACAGGAGACAUGAGGAGGACAGGAACUUACCUGAACUACCGACUCAGAAACAGAUUUGUGAAAAUGACUGGGGAAGUUGCAGAGUACAUAAGACGGCUGCAGGAAAGACAACAAAAGGAACAAUUGUUAUGUGAAGAAUAAAGAAUCACAAGCUUGGGGUUUUUUUCCUCAAGGAGGAAGGAGGGGCUUUUCAAAAUGAUAUUAUCUUUGCCACUACUCAGUCUUCACAUGUACUCUUUUAUUCCUAAAAUAUACUAUAUGCUUUCCUAGGAAAUGUUCUGAAAAGUCUUGAAGAAACCACUUCUUCUCACAUAUUUCCCUAUGUUUUCUUCUGAAA